GCCUGGGUGGCUCAGUCGGUUGAGCAUCCGACUUCAGCUCGGGUCAUGAUCUCACAGUCUGUGAGUUCGAGCCCCGUGUCGGGCU
Molecule: transfer RNA, 85 nt
Filed under: Felis catus (domestic cat)
Lineage: Eukaryota; Metazoa; Chordata; Mammalia; Carnivora; Felidae
Also listed under: 2 other names
Rfam family: tRNA
About the family: Transfer RNA (tRNA) molecules are approximately 80 nucleotides in length. Their secondary structure includes four short double-helical elements and three loops (D, anti-codon, and T loops).
Source: Rfam by way of RNAcentral